This 315-nucleotide unclassified non-coding RNA is filed under the name plant metagenome. Its description in RNAcentral is "partial contains 5.8S ribosomal RNA, internal transcribed spacer 2, and large subunit ribosomal RNA". The stretch from base 1 to 105 matches the Rfam family "5.8S ribosomal RNA", at positions 50 to 154 of the family's 154-position model. The record is from RNAcentral.
GAAAUGCGAUAAUUAAUGUGAAUUGCAGAAUUCAGUGAAUCAUCGAGUCUUUGAACGCACAUUGCGCCCCCUGGUAUUCCGGGGGGCAUGCCUGUCCGAGCGUCAUUGCUGCCCUCAAGCACGGCUUGUGUGUUGGGCUUCCGUCCCUGGCAACGGGGACGGGCCCAAAAAGGCAGUGGCGGCACCAUGUCUGGUCCUCGAGCGUAUGGGGCUUUGUCACCCGCUCCCGUAGGUCCAGCUGGCAGCUAGCCUCGCAACCAAUCUUUUUAACCAGGUUGACCUCGGAUCAGAUAGGGAUACCCGCUGAACUUAAGC